GAUAACUGGCUGAUGACUUCUAAGAGCUCUUAUUGAUGGAGUCAUUUGGCACAUUGAUGUUGACUCAUCACAUCCUAGGGUUGAAGAAGGUCCCAAAGGUUCAUGAGUUGGGUUUAUAAUGUCGUGAGAUAGUUCAGUUCCUAUCUACCAUUGGUGUGAAA
RNAcentral lists this non-coding RNA (161 nucleotides) under Cucumis melo (muskmelon). RNAcentral's name for it is "Bacterial large subunit ribosomal RNA". It matches the Rfam family "Bacterial large subunit ribosomal RNA", at positions 2473 to 2658 of the family's 2925-position model. RNAcentral also lists the same sequence under 1 other name. The record is from Rfam by way of RNAcentral. Lineage: Eukaryota; Viridiplantae; Streptophyta; Magnoliopsida; Cucurbitales; Cucurbitaceae.